This 253-nucleotide ribosomal RNA is filed under the name uncultured bacterium. RNAcentral's name for it is "partial 16S ribosomal RNA". It matches the Rfam family "Bacterial small subunit ribosomal RNA", at positions 524 to 776 of the family's 1533-position model. The record is from RNAcentral.
UACGUAGGGGGCAAGCGUUGUCCGGAUUUAUUGGGCGUAAAGCGCGCGUAGGCGGCGCGGUAUGUCGUGCGUGAAAUCUCCCGGCUUAACUGGGAGGGGCCGUGCGAAACUGCCGGGCUUGAGGUCAGAAGGGGAAAGUGGAAUUCCGGGUGUAGUGGUGGAAUACGUAGAUAUCCGGAGGAACACCAGCGGCGAAGGCGGCUUUCUGGUCUGAUACUGACGCUGAGGCGCGAAAGCUAGGGGAGCGAACGGG